GAUGAACGCUGGCGGCGUGCCUAAUACAUGCAAGUCGAGCGAACAGAUAAGGAGCUUGCUCCUUUGACGUUAGCGGCGGACGGGUGAGUAACACGUGGAUAACCUACCUAUAAGACUGGGAUAACUUCGGGAAACCGGAGCUAAUACCGGAUAACAUAUUGAACCGCAUGGUUCAAUAGUGAAAGGCGGCUUUGCUGUCACUUAUAGAUGGAUCCGCGCCGUAUUAGCUAGUUGGUAAGGUAACGGCUUACCAAGGCAACGAUACGUAGCCGACCUGAGAGGGUGAUAGGCCACACUGGAACUGAGACACGGUCCAGACUCCUACGGGAGGCAGCAGUAGGGAAUCUUCCGCAAUGGGCGAAAGCCUGACGGAGCAACGCCGCGUGAGUGAUGAAGGUCUUCGGAUCGUAAAACUCUGUUAUCAGGGAAGAACAAAUGUGUAAGUAACUGUGCACAUCUUGACGGUACCUGAUCAGAAAGCCACGGCUAACUACGUG
RNAcentral lists this ribosomal RNA (497 nucleotides) under uncultured bacterium. RNAcentral's name for it is "partial 16S ribosomal RNA". It matches the Rfam family "Bacterial small subunit ribosomal RNA", at positions 28 to 507 of the family's 1533-position model. The record is from RNAcentral.